GUGCUUGCUUUGGCAGCACAUAUACUAAAAUUGGAAUGCUACAGAGAUUAGCAUGGCCCUGUGCUAGGAUGGACACACAAAUUCAUGGAGCAUUCCAUAUUUUU
Molecule: small nuclear RNA, 104 nt
Organism: Sciurus carolinensis (gray squirrel)
Lineage: Eukaryota; Metazoa; Chordata; Mammalia; Rodentia; Sciuridae
Source: RefSeq, a predicted model, not a curated record